Molecule: ribosomal RNA, 405 nt
Filed under: uncultured bacterium
Lineage: Bacteria
Description: partial 16S ribosomal RNA
Rfam family: Bacterial small subunit ribosomal RNA
Source: RNAcentral
UGGGGAAUAUUGCACAAUGGGCGCAAGCCUGAUGCAGCCAUGCCGCGUGUGUGAAGAAGGCCUUCGGGUUGUAAAGCACUUUCAGCGAGGAGGAAGGCGUUAAGGUUAAUAACCUUGGCGAUUGACGUUACUCGCAGAAGAAGCACCGGCUAACUCCGUGCCAGCAGCCGCGGUAAUACGGAGGGUGCAAGCGUUAAUCGGAAUUACUGGGCGUAAAGCGCACGCAGGCGGUUUGUUAAGUCAGAUGUGAAAUCCCCGAGCUUAACUUGGGAACUGCAUUUGAAACUGGCAAGCUAGAGUCUUGUAGAGGGGGGUAGAAUUCCAGGUGUAGCGGUGAAAUGCGUAGAGAUCUGGAGGAAUACCGGUGGCGAAGGCGGCCCCCCUGGACAAAGACUGACGCUCAGG